GCUCCUGUGAGCGCCACGGCCUUCUCUCAGCUUACCAAGCACAGCCCCGUACAUUGUAAAGCGGCUGUGCUUAGUAUCGCAGCUCAGCCCCAUUCACUUCUAUGGGGAUGAGCUGCGCCUAAGCCAUGUGACUGAUAAAAGUUACUUC
Bufo bufo (common toad) is the source of this 148-nucleotide long non-coding RNA. RefSeq lists it as uncharacterized. The record is from RefSeq and is a predicted model, not a curated record. Lineage: Eukaryota; Metazoa; Chordata; Amphibia; Anura; Bufonidae. The transcript is spliced from 3 exons.